RNAcentral lists this unclassified non-coding RNA (16007 nucleotides) under Diabrotica virgifera virgifera (western corn rootworm). Its description in RNAcentral is "protein enabled". The record is from RNAcentral. Lineage: Eukaryota; Metazoa; Arthropoda; Insecta; Coleoptera; Chrysomelidae.
CCUAGCCUAGCACGGCAGACGUGUUUAUAUUCUUCGCGAAUGUAGCCAGCUCGUCAACCACCACGAAUUUUGUUAUCGCUAUCGCUAGCCGAGUGGUUUGGUUAUCAUCACUCGCGUAGUUUCCUGGUCGAAUUACUGUAUCCGAGCAUUAGCAUUGUUUUAAUACAUUUUUAAUAGUCUGUUUGUGUCGUUGUUUUGGUGAGCGCGAUAGAUAAGUGACUUGGUUCGAGAACAAUGGAUAUUAUGGAAUCCGAGCUCUAUCAGCAGCUCGAUCAGCUGGAAGAGGAGUUUAAUGUGAUUUUGAGGAAAGACAGUGAUUUUUCCUUGAAUAGACUGAAUAGCAAUAGCGUUACUUCUAUCAACAGUGUCAAUAGUAAUGCGUCUAGGAAGUCUGAAUGGGAGGAUUAUUGGGCAUGCGAGCAAUCCAUCGCUAGUGCCCGAGCAAGUGUAAUGGUAUACGACGAUGUUAACAAAAAGUGGAUUCCAUCGGGCACGUCGUCGGGUCUUUCAAAAGUUCACAUCUACCAACAUACGGUGCACCAGACGUUUCGAGUGGUUGGAAGGAAACUUCACGACCAUGAGGUCGUCAUAAACUGUGCCAUUCUAAAAGGACUGAAAUACAACCAAGCCACAUCGACGUUUCAUCAGUGGCGAGACAAUAAGCAGGUUUACGGAUUAAAUUUUAGCUCUAAAGAAGACGCAGAUUGUUUCGCCAGAGCCAUGUUCCAUUCAUUAGAAGUACUUAGCAACAUAGUUAGGCAACCCGCACCACCUCCCCAAUACGUCCCUCCAACGCAACAAAUUCAGCAACAAAUCCAACAACAAAUUCAACAGCAACCGCCUCAGAUACAAAUGCAACCCCAACCGCCUCAACCCCCUCAAAUGCCACAAAUGCCCCAGCAGCCCCAAUACGACGAAGAUAUGGGUUACCGCACGAUGACCCGCGAAGACGUCGCCAUUCUUCAGGAAAGGAGGAUAUCUUCGAAUCUGAUGUCGCCCCAACAGACCUCCCCCAUGACGCCACAAGUUAAUAACGUGCCUGUGCCACCCGCUAUGCCUAUGGGGGCACCUAGUCCUGUCUCACCCCCACAAAAUGUUCCAGUAGUCAACCAGACGACAGGGCACCAACGGACAGUAAGUGCCCCUCCCGCUCCGCCACCGCCUCCAGGACCUCCUGGUCCACCUCCGAUAACAGCGGCAGCGGCACCACCUCCCCCACCACCACCUCCCAUGAAUAUGUCCAGGUCACAAAGCAGUGACGGUGGCGAAAUCAAUUCUUUAGCUGCACAGUUACAGAAUGCUAGGCUCAAGAGGAAUAGUAAGAAUACUCCUCCCCCGACUGAAAAUAGUGGAUCUUCGACAAGUAGUGGCGGUAGCAGUAAUUAUGGUACUAUAGGAAGAGGUGGAGGCGGUAGUAUGGCCUCCAUGAUGGACGAAAUGGCCAAAACAUUAGCUAGGAGAAGAGCAGCGGUGGAGAAAAAAGUACCGGAUAACGUCGAAGACGAGAAAAAGGCUGCGAUUUGGGAAAAGACCAACACGUUGCCGAGCAAUUCCAAAUUCAGUUCCGAGUCACCUAAAGGCGUUCGAAAACGGUUCGGAUCAGCUUCAGAGGAAACGAUAUUAAAAGUCAAUGGCCUAUCCGAAGUCGGCGGUCUUUCGAUCGGUCCCACGGAAAUGGAGAGUCUUAAAAAUGAGAUAGUCAAAGAAGUCAGAAAAGAAAUCGCGAAAAUGAAACAAGACAUAUUAGAUGCAAUCAAAUCAGAACUGAACCGGAGGUAAUUCACGUGCAAAGUGCAACUACCUUUGCUGUUUAAUAAUUAUUGAAUUUUUUGUAUAAUUUUUACACACGAACCAGACUAAAACGACAAUUUAUAAUAACAUUUAAUAUUGAUUCCUAUGUUGCGCAGUUGAAGUGAGGGAUUUUUACGCCAUUAUACGGAUUGGUAUUGUAUAUCUGGGAUCUAAGUUUAGACUUCGCAAAGGAAAGAAUUAUUUAAAAAAACUUUAACAUUGAAGUAUAAAACUUCUGUUGUAAUUGGUAUAAGUACUCAUCUUCAUCUACAUCUUCAGCGAACUUUGAAGUACUUACGCUAAUAACCGCAAAACCAAACAAUGGUUGGGCUUAAAUUGUAGACUACAUACUUAAAAGUAUUAAAUUAAACGACAUACAGUCGAUGUUUAAGUCAUUGUUUUAAAUAAAUGUCGCUACAGCGUUUUACAGCAAAUUAUUUCAUAUUUUACUUAGUAAGACGGUUGGUUUUAUAGUCCAAGAGGCAGCGCUGAAAAAUUUCUCUGAAUUUACUAAAGCUAAUUAUUUCACAGUUGAUUACUGUGAUUGUGUAGAGAAACAUACUGCGGUCGGUCAAGCUAAACGUAGAACAUGUAGUACUGACAGCUUGUCAAAAUUGUUUACCUGCGGAGGUAAUUAAAUCCAUUUACUAAGGCUGAAAAUCAGUACACACAUUCUAAAUUGAAUAUAAAUAAAAGUUAUAAUAACUAGGAAGACGACGAAAAGUUAUUAUAGUCGGUCAGCUGUAUGACGGGACAGAGCCGGUCGGUCGGCCCCAAUGAAUGUACAGGGUUAUUCACUAUAUUUUGACCCUCCUCUAAACUGCUUUAUUUACAGAAUUAGAAAAAAAUGUAAAAUACAAAACUGAUUCGAUUUUUAAAUUAUGAUUUUUGACAUAUAUAUCGCACUAGUGACGUCAUCCAUCUGGUCGUGAUGAAGUAAUCGACGAUCUUUUUUUAAUGAGAAUAGGGGUCGUGUCCUAGCUCAUUUGAAAGGUUAUUAAUUCUCUAUUCAGUAAUAUAAACAUUAACUUGAUUGUUUAUACAGGGUGUCCAAAAAAAUUUUUUAAAUAAAUUGUUUAAUUAAUAAUUAAAAAAAAAUUUUGGACAACUUAUAUAAAUAAUGAUUUUAAUGUUUAUAUUACUGCAUAGAGAAUUGAAUAACCUUUCAAAUGAGCUAGCACACAACCCCUAUUCUCAUUUAAGAAAAUAGUCGAUUACGUCAUCACGCCCAGAUGGAUGACGUCACUAGUACGAUAUAUAUGUCAAAAAAUCAUAAUAAAAAAAUCGAAUAACUUUUGUAUUUUACAUUUUUUUCUAAUUCUGUAAAGAAAGCAGAUUACAAGGCUUUAGUAAAUUCAGAGAAAUUUUUCAGAGCUGCCUCUUGGACUAUAACUGUCUUUCAUUUUUUUUAGUUUUACUCCUACCUGAGUACAAGGAAUCAGGAUUCGAUGGAAUUUUACCUAGAUAAAUUGACGGGUUGUGGAAUGCAAUCGUGGAUUCCCCCUAGUCAGCUUUAUUUAUCGUUCAUUUGUCUUGCAAAUUUUAGGAGGAAAAGCAAACGAUAUAAUAAGAUUUCCGAUCUAAGAUUUCUCAUUGUUUUAUUUAUAAUUUAUUUGCUGCAAAUCUACAUGGUAUGUCUCUCUUUAAUUUGAAUACUUUAGGUUUGUACACUACAAAUUUCCCAGAUUACAAUAUCAUGGAAGAUCACUAGAUAUACAUAACGUAGAAUUUUUCAUUUGGUUUUCUCAAUCUACAGUAUUAUGACGGAAGUAUCUUCUAAAUUUUUAUAAAUAUCUUUCCUAAAAUGAAUAAGACAUAUAAUAAAGACUGAAACGAUGUUUAUACAAUUUUAUAAAGGAGGAGUACGGUAUCUUUGACUAAAAAACUUCUACAACUUCACUGCCUGUGACACCUCUAACACACUUUUUUGAUUUUGUACUAUUCUCAUGUGGAUGAGUAGGGAAACAAGAAAUCGGGCAAUGUUUUUCAAUAAUUUUAGAUGCUGAAAGAAAAUUUAAUGACUGAGAAAGAAAUCUACAAAAAGAGCUACUAGACUCGGUUUACAUUUAUGCGAUAAAAUACAAGUUACAGAUGAGUUGGAAGUCAUAUCUGCAUUUAAAAGUUACGAGGGCGAGUCAAUACGUCCAUAACUUGAACGAAACACAGUCUCCUUUGAGUUCUAUACACUUAGGGCCGGUUGUUCGAACGCUAAUCAAAAAUGGAAUCAACUGAUCAUUAUCAAAUAUUUAAUUACUGUGACCAACUGUCAAUGUCAACUUUGAUUGGGUUGAUGAAAACAUAAUUGCAGUUAUGAGAUUAAUUGAUUAAUUAAUAAUUAGUCAAUCAAUGAUGUUAAUUAUCAUAAUGAUAAUUAAUUGAAUACAAUCAACUGAUUGGCGUACGAACAACGGAUUUUGUUAUUUGAUGGUUGUUAAGGGGACUUGAUUAUAAUCAACUUCUUGAUUAGCGUUCGAACAACCGGCCCUAAGUUCAACGUUUCUCCAAUCUUUUUAUAUCUUCGGAAAAAUGUGAUUUGUCGAGAUCAUCAAAAUAGGCAUUUGUUGUUGAGAUGAUUUCAUCGUUGGUGUCAAAUCUUUCUUCAAUUUUGAGAACAAGAAAUAUUCACCCGGGGCUAAAUCUGGAGAAUGGGGCGGAUGAGGAGCAAUUCGGAGCCUAAUUCAUAGAUUUUGCCAUGAAAACUGCACAGCACACAUGUGUGCACUCUUGCAUUAUCCUGGCGGAAAAAAACUUUUCUCUUAGCCAAAUGUGAUCGUUUUUUUUUUCAAUAGGUAACUUGCACAUUUUUUUUAUUACAUAAUAUUGUUCUGUUCUCCAAAAUUUCACGCUUCAAAAACUCAUAAUAUCUUAGAAGUACAAGUUUAAAAUCUUCUGUGAUUUAAAAUAGUUCAAACGACCCGUGACGUCACAUAGUUGAACUAUAUGGUUAUAGUUAGGUAUAUUUUUCUUCUUCUUUAGUUUAUUGGUCUCCACCUUCUUGGGUAUCUGGCCAGCUCAUCGUCGCGGAAUAAGGAAAAAAUAUUUAUAUUCUAAUGACAUUUAUAGUAUGUCAUUGUAAUAAUAUAUACCAGUUUAUUGAGAUUGGAGUUUGAUACAGUUUUUGAAGGAAAGGAAAGAAGGUUUACUAUGGAAAAUAAAACCAUUUUGUAAAAGUACAAAUUUUCUAUGAAUAGGUCAAACGAUCAAAAACACUUGUGACGUCACAUAACUGUAUUUUCUACUGACGUUUAUAAUGUCUAAUUUAAAAUUAUAUACAAUUUUGUUUACUUUGUUGGUGCAGAAUGUAAACAUAUAACCGGAUGACGUCACGACGCGUUUUGGGCUGGCUGGUAUAAUUUGAAUUUUUAAUCGUCUUUAGGGGCCAAACUAAAGACAAAAAAUCUUUUUUAUCUUUGAUAAAUGUUUUAAAUUAUGUUCUGUUGUGAUUUAUAACAUUUUUUCGAAUUUAAAAUUUUAUGCAAGUUCCCUACUAGGCAUCCAAAACGUUUGGCAUCUUCCAUACUUAUACGCUCACAUCGAAAUUAAGUAAACCACUUCUUUACCAUGGAAAUGGAUGGUGCAGAGGUCCCAUAAUAGCUUAGCCUUGGUUUGGGUAAUAGUUUUUUUCCACAAUCAAUAAUGCAUGAGCACACAAAAUUGACUUUUUUACCAUUUUCUUCUCAAAACGCGCGAUAGUUUGCUAUCAGCGGCUGCCAAACAAACUAAAUGACAGAUCUUGUUCAAAUUUAGACCGCAGUCAAGUGAGAGUUGCCUGUUGACAAGAACAGGGUUGCCAUUUAAUUAAGAGGCGGGAAAUUCAAAAAGUCACGCUCUUAUUGGCCCGCUCUCAUACUUUUAAAGGUAGACACUUUAUAUGUGCAAAUAUAGUGUCGUACUAGGAGACUCAGUAAAGUAUCAUCGCUUAGUGUGAUCCUCAUUUAAUAAAAUAAUUUGUAAAUCUCCAGUAGACAGCGAAACCUUCAGCAUAAAACUAGAACAAACAUAAACCGACUCUUGUUUCUUGUACUCCCCCUAAAACCAGUUGCACAAGCUUGUUAUCUCGUUUUUACUACAUUGUAGUCCCAUAUCUUGUACUGCGUAACGCCUGUAUAUAUUCUUAGCUUAAGGACUUCCAUUGACAGUUUUAUCUUGAGAUUGGACACCGAAUACUGAUCAUUACCACUUUUUCUGAGUAUUCCAUUACAUUAUUGUUUGUGUAAGUAUUGUUUUGGUAAGAAUUAUGUACAAGAGGUUAGGUUUUUCUUUAGUUACUAACUACGAAUCAUGAUUUUUGUUCAAUGUCUUUAAUCUGAACACUACCUAGUGCUUGAUGAGGUGAUAACUUGUAGCUAGUCUAUACACCAGCUCAUACUUGUACGACUAUAGCUGAAUAUGAAUGUACAAGCCUACAGAUAUAUCUGAAACCUCGAAGGUCGCGCCGGUAGCAAAUGAAGGAGAGAGGACUUCAGUCGAACGCGUUGUUUCAAAUAGUAAACAUCCAUUUAAAAUGCAUUGUACACGAAAUCAGUGGUUUUGCGACAUUCAACCCUAUUCUGUAACUUUUAACAAAUCGAAUAGAAAUGACCAAGUCGAAUCGUAAUUACCCGAAAUCGGAAUGUUUGAUAUCUAUCGCGUGAUUUUCGUGUUUGGAUUGGAAUUCUGUAACUCACAUCGUAAGCAGGUUAAAUCGAAAUCGGCAAUUUCUAUUUCACGCGGUCAAGAGGGGGUGGCAACCCCGCAUUGUCAAGCGAAAUUAGUGUUCUGUGACCUGUUUGUUACUAGUUCUAAAUUUGAAAUACGGCAUCGUUGCCAUAUCUUCAAUUUUUCAUACUAUCACAUUUACAGUUACAUUUUUAAAAAUAGUUUUGAAAUAACAAAAAAGAAACGUUUUGAAAAGUAAACAAUAAAAUAUCAGUGUAAAUAUUGGACACGAAACCUCAAAAGAUGAUAAAUGGUUUCAAAUCAAAGUUAAUUAAAAUUGUUAUAAAAAGAAGAUAAACUGAUAAAUAAAAAAGGUAAUGAGGAUAAGAUGUAUCAUGUAAGAUACAUCUACAUCAUACUAAUAAUUAUAUUACUAAUAAUUAUACAAUCUUAAGAUUUGAUUCCAGCUAGAAUAACUUAUAAACAACUUUUCCCAAAAACAGCGUCUUUUCUAUAAGUAUUUUCUUUUCUCUAAUAUGUAUCAAUCAACGCUAUAAGUCUCUAUUUAUAUUUUAAACAUUCUUGUACAAUCUAUUCUUGUACAUUAUGCCAUUGAUUGAAAUUGUGCAAGAAAUAAACAAAAAAAGUUUGGCAACGCUGUGACUGGCAAACAUUCAGCAUUCAGAAUCUGAAUUUCGGAUGCCAAAUCAAUUUUAAGGUUAGGUUUCAUGCAUACUCGUACAUGUCUAAAUUAAAUAUACCUACAAUUCCCUAAGUAAAUACCACCUCAGACUAAAAAUUAGAUACAGAUACAAAAGGUAAAAAUACUAUAAAUAAUGAUAAAUAAGUAGUAAUAAAUUAUUUUUAGUAGCUAUAAAAUAUAAACGUCAAAACAAAAUACAAUGCGCUUGCGUCAAGCACAAUUCCGAUUAUCGAAAUCUAAUUUCGACAGGGUAAAUGGUGUCGAAGUCAUUUCUAUUCACUAUUCCGAUUGUAGAGAUUCCGAGGGAGUUAUGGAAUACCGAUUUUGACUAUUUCUAUUCGACUUGGCUACUUUAUUCGAUUUUCCUGACUUCUAUCAUCGAAAUGAGUUACAGAAUGGAAAUGAUUGUCAGAUAAAAUCGUCGAAUAGUUGUUUAGUUAGAAUACAUUUAAUACGUUUUUAAUAAUCAUUAAUAUUAUAAGUGCCGUGAAAAAUAGGACACUAACUGCACAAUCCUGUGAUAGUAUAAACAUAGGUAGUUUUAAAAUUUACGCGGAAGCAAAUUUUACUGUGAAACAGGUAAUAAAUAAAAAACCGAAAAACCUGUGAAACAGAUACAGAUAUUUCUGUCGGUUUGUACUUAUCAAUAGAAUCUCCCUUUAAAUAAUACAUGCCUACACGCUAGAGUCUAGAGAGAAAUUCACACCAAGAGUGCAGUACGGCUAAGAGAGGGCAAUACAUUUCUAAUGGGGAAUAAACGCACAGGGUUGUCGGUCUUCACCAGUUGUUGAUUGCUCUCUCAAGAGCGUCGAACAGGAACUGUGGCAACACUGAAUGCGCCUUCCUAUCUUAACCGUACUGCACUCCCAGUGUGAAUUUCACAAUAGAGGUUAAUACAUUGGUUAUAGAAUAAAAUAACAAUGUACACAGUAAAGGCUUAGACUUAAUCAUGAUCUUUAAGAAGUCGGUUUUAAGAAGUUAUAAUUAACUGAUUGUACGUAAUGCUUACACUUUAUUUACUGAGAUAUAAAAAUAAGGUUAGUGAGUGUAGAGGUAUGAAAUGUCAAGUCUUCUAUACCACCGUAAAUAUAUUGAGGCUCUAUUUUAAUGUUUAAUUUGCUAUAAAUUGAAAUAGUUUGUAUAGAAUAUGUUGCAUCAAAAACAGUAUAGAAAGAGGUAAUAAUUGCGCAAUUGUUGAUCAUUUUUAUCAAUGCAAGAGGCACCGGAAGUUAUGGAAACGCCAAAGCAAGUCACAAAGCUCAGAGAAAUGGAAUGAAAUUCUGAAUCUCCGUAUAAUAGUUGAGCGGUUUUCUUCUUCAUGUACUAUGUUCUUUCAGAACGUUGUUUACCAUCAUAGCUAUCUUAAUUUUAUUCACUGCCACCCUAAAUAGCAUACUUGUAUCAAUACCAUACCAAUCUCACAAGUUCUUCAACCUGAAGUCUUUCUUCGUCAUGGACUGUGUUUGCCUGCUAUUUUCCGUUCCGUUUUUUUUUGGAACAGGCUUUUGCCAUUCAGCCAGUCACAACUUUUUUAAGUUCUUCCUAAAGCAAAGAAAAGAAAGUAAUUAUCACAAUACCUAUUUGAUUAUCAGUAAGGAAUAACAUGGUUACUCGCGUCUCGUCUAGGGACCCAUCAAGACAUUAAAUUAAUACACAAACUAGAAAGAUACUGUAUUAAAACGAGCGAUUUCGUAUUUAUAUACGACUUUAUUAAUUAUUUAUUGAUACAAGUUUUCUUUUACAAACUCUAGCUUAAAACUGAACUCUAUUUACAAAAUAUAUUCCUAUUUAUAGCUCAGCCGUUAUUCUGGAACAAUCCACGCUCAUCUCUAGUUAUCAUCUCCGCCCGCUUACCUGAGGUACGUUUUCGAACACCGUUCUUUACCCCUCUGCCGCCGCCCGCCGCCUCGAACAUUCGAUUACGUCAUACACGUCUCGAUUUGUGUAGUGGCGGCAGAGGGGUAAAGAACGGUGUUCGAGAACGUAUCUCAGGUAAGCGGGCGGAGCCGAUAGCUAGAAAUGAGCGUGGAUUGUUCCAGAAUAACGGCUGGGCUAUAAAUAGGAAUAUAUUUUGUAAAUAGAGUUCAGUUUUAAGCUAGAGUUUGUAAAAGAAAACUUGUAUAAAUAAAUAAUUAAUAAAGUCGUAUAUAAAUACGAAAUCGCUCGUUUUGUUACAGUGGUGUCAGGUGUGGGGUAAACUUAGUGUGAUAUAAAUACGUGAAUUAGAGAAAGACUUAAAAGGCUUUUGAACUUUAUAUGGGGGGUCGGUCAAGAGUUCUCUUUCGUUACAAUACACAAUUUGAUCAACUUGCCUAAGUUUGGUACUAUUAAUUAUCAAUUUGGUUUCAAUUAAAUAUCAAGUAUCUUCUUUUCUAUUAAAAAUAAUAUCUUAUGUUCUGGAAUCCGUUUUUGAAAGUUCUCUCUGUUUGGCCUAUGUAAAUUUUUUGAAAAUCCCUACAAUUGUUAAACAAGUGAAUUUUUGUUACAAUAUUAGUUCGUAUAUGUACUAACUGGUGCUUCUUGUAAUGAAAUUGGUUUAAAAAAUGUACAAAUGAUAAGUAUUUUCGCAGAUUUUAAGUUGUAUAGAAGACUUGUGAUAUUGUAAAAAUAUUAACCAGGAAUCUUAGAACCUAGUGCCAAUACUAGACUCUACCUACGAAUAUCUCAGUGUUGGUAAUGAUUGGAAAAUUUGUUUUUGACAUAUAUUGAAGUUGCUCCAUCGAGUAUUUGGGUACUCGGACGAACAAAAAGAGAAAAUGGCCGUGUAUAUUAUAGAAUUCAUUAGAAAGCUUGAUAGAGUAGCGUAAAAAUCAUAUUAUACAUCGAAAUGUCAGAACACGGGUCUAACUUUUCAUCAAAUAUUUCAAUUGUCCCUAGUUAAAUAUUAAAAAAGAUGUCACCGAUAUGUCUUGACUUUCAGGCGCCAUUUUUGUCGAAAUAUUGUGUAUUUGUACACCUUUUUGUGAAUUUAUUUAUUGCAAUAAAUGUUGAUCCUUCUAGCGAGUUUUAGGAAAAGAAAGGAUCUGACCUAACCUAACAUAACCUAGAAAAAAUGGCGUCUAAUGUCACACUAUAGACCAUUCCAGGGUGACGUCAUUUGACAGCGACUGGUGGGCAAAAUAUUGUAAACAAACUAGGUUAAGUGUAGAAAACCAUUGUUUAAUUAAGAAUAUGAUUAAAAUACCAGCGUUUUGUUCAGUUUGAAAGUGUUCCAGUAAAGGUAAAAGAGAUAAAGUAAGUUUUUUUUAUAAUACCAGCCGCAUUUAAAGACCGAAAUGUUUUAAAUCACUAUAAUCACAAUACACUGUAAACAGAACGACGAUAUGGGCCAAGAAAACUGAUUUUCUGAUUAUACCGGGUUUUUGCAUCCCCUACGAGGGUGUCCUAUAUCCAAUAUUUGAAAUUUUUGUAGUUAAAACCACAGAUUUUUUAUAAUAAGGCGAGAAAAUAGCAAAAAUAACACCAUAAACACAAUGUUUGCCCCUCGGCAACGGUGUCGAAAGUCACGUGACCUGGAAUGGUCAAUUAUGACAAAUUUAUUAAACAAUCAAAAUUAGCAAAAUUAUAAUUGCUUCAUAAACUGUGUAGUUCAAAUAGGUAUAAUAUCGUCUUCCAUACUGAAAAUUUACUGAUUUUUUUAAUUUCUCGAUAGUUAUUGAAAAAAAGUAGGUAGUGUGGAACUUGCUUAUAGAUCUAGACAGCUUCUUUUGAUUGGAUUUAGAUAAUCUUAGGAAACGAAUUUUAGGAAAAAGCCUAAGAAGAUGGCUUGGAUGUAGGUAAAGGUGAAGUGAAAGAUAGUAAAACAAAACAGGAAAUUAACAACUGAAUAAAAUCAACCGAAAUUGGAAUAAAAUAAUUGAUAACGUUACACCCUUACAUGACAUUAGUAACGUAAGGUUGCUAUGUUUCCAAAAUACGUUUCUUAACAGUAUAUUCCUCUUUUUUAGCUGAAAUGUAGUUGAUUCAUCGAUCUUUACGAAUCAUUUUUGCAAAUCAAAAUAAUACGUUCUACUAUAGAAAAUUAUAGUCGAGUAGCUAAAUUAUCGAUCGAAAUAUUUGUUGAACAGUUACGACCCCUCCAUCAAAUCUUUUGAAUUGUUACGUUUACCUUAUAAGGAAAUUUUUGAAACGCGAGCGAGGUUUGUAUAAAAAGAAAUAUAAUCAUUGGUAAAAGAUUUUAAUUAUACUAAUUAUAACUUUGUGAUAUUGUAUUAAUCUAUUGCAUUUAUUUUCUUUGUAAAUUAUUAUCAUGUACUUUUUCGGGACAAGACAUCUUGUAACGUGACACUUCGUAACGCCACAAAUGGUAACGCCGUUAAUUCGUAACGGCGACACUUUGUCACAUCGACAGUUCGGAACUAUAACUUCGUAACGGUAUAAUUCGUAACGUCAAAUGGAAUUAUUCUGUUUAUUUUUGUUGACUUGGAAACGAACUUUUAUUAUGGUUGCAAUAAUAGUAUAUUAUUUUUAAAUUUCCUCUUCGCUGCAAAAUACAUUUAUUGGAUAGAUACAGUGAUGCUAAAUUUGCCAAAAGAAAAACUAAAAAGUAUUGGCGUUACGAAUUAUACCGUUACGAACUAUCGACGUUACGAAUUAAGGCGUUACGGAUUGUCCGUUACCAUUUGUGUGGUUACGGACCGUUGCGUUACUAGAUGUCAUGUAACCGUACUUUAUAUAUAUACGUAUUUAUGCGCAUAUGUCUUAUAGUUAUUCGGGUGGCUCGAAGAGUAAUAGAGUUAAAGUAAUGGUCUUACGCUGUUGAGUUAUUAGGAAUGACAAAGCGAGCUGCAAGCUAAUGAUUUAGACGUCUUUAUUACUCUUUGAGCUACCGGGAUGACAGGGAGUGCUGUAAUUCAUUGGAAAAUAACUAAGGUGUGACAGAUGACAUCAAAAACGCGGUGUAGCUUUAAUUGUUACUUUUUUUCUAUCUAGAAAGUGUUCAGUUAACGAAAAUGGUAUCAACUUUACCGUUGCCACUAGAUUGCGUUUGUGAUAUUUAAUUUAUACAAAUAAAUCUCUCUCUAACAAUAAAACACUGAAAACGAUUGUUUUCUAUACUUCCACAAAAUUUAUUACAACUAUGUGACUACAGCUGUUUCGGCAGAGUGCCUUUCUCAAGUGAUUUAGUUUACUAUGUGUUUGCCUUUUUAAAGUCUUUAACUGAAGAGGUUGAGGAGGGGAGCUGUUUGUCUCGAGUUGGUCAUUCAGAAUUAUAUCAUUAUUUUUCAAUUUAUUAAUUUCCAUAGAUUCUAAUAAAGAUAGCUUAAGGCCUAUUGCCAAUUAUUAUAUAAGGAUUUUGAAUAUGCAGAAUUUGAAACUGUUCAUUAAAAUAAUGAUUAUGAUCUAGAAGGUGAAGUGCGUAUGUAUACGUGUCUGUUUUUCUAUUGUUGAAAGCCUUUUUGUGUUCUGCUAUCCGUUUGUCAAAGGUUCUGCCAGUUUUACCGAUGUAAGUUUUCGGACAGUCACCACAAGUUAGUUUGUAAACACCACUCUGUAGUUGUUUUCUCAUUCGGCUCUUAUUGUUCUUAAUAUAUUUGCUUAAGUUGUUGUUAGUUCUGAAAGCUGGUGUUAUUCCUUUCUUUUUUAUGUAUCUGGCUAUUUUUGUUGUUAUCUUGUGAUAUAUGUGAUAGAGCAGAAGGUACUGGGUUCUUUCUGUGGUGGUGGAUAGACUAAUUUCAGGGCUUUCUUAUGGAGUUUUUGGUUUAAAAUUUUGUUAAUUGUUUGUUCGUUAUAGCCAUUGUUUACUGCUAUUUGUUUAAUGAUGUUCAGUUCUAUCUAGAAGUUAUUUUUUGACAUGGGAAUUUCUGUCAGUCUAUGUAUCAUGCUAUGGUAGGCUUCUAAUUUGUGUUGUGUAGGAUGGGAUGAUGAAUUGUGUAUAGUUAUAUCAGUAUGGGUAUGUUUAUGAUAUACGGAGAACUCAUGUUUGUUGUGUAGUCUGGUAAUUGUAACAUCUAGAAAGUUUAUGGACUUAUUCUGUUCUGUUUCUAUUGUAAACUCAAUAUUACUAUGAAGUGAAUUAAUGUAUGAUAGAAAUUGGUCAAGUUCCCUGUUAGUUCCUGUAAAGCAUACUAGUAUAUCAUCCACAUAUCUCCACCAAUAUAAGAACUGUUUAAAUACGGGAUGUUUAGAAAUUGUUUCAAGCUGGUUCAUGAAUUAUGAAUGGGAUUAGAGGAUUACCCAUAAUAAGUCCUGAACUGUUGUUUGUGUAUAUUUGUUUAUUGAAUUCAAAAUAGUCUUGAUUUAUGCAAAUUUCAAGAAGGUGUAAAAUUUCAGAUGCAAUGAUCGAAUUUGUACUAUUAUGGUCUAAAAGAUUUUUAACUAAAACAAUCUCUCUCUCUUUCUGUCUUGUCGUCUUCCCAUUCUUGAGGAUCGUGUUUUACUCAAAUACUUCUAACAAAUUUGCUCCAUUGCAUUUCUUGUUUAUUUGGUGCUAUAAGUGUAGUGUCAUCAGCAAAUCUUUAAUUGGAGUUUUUCUACCAGCCAACGUUACUCCACCUAUCCAUUUUUCUAAAGCUAUUCUCAUAAAAAGUGCACCAUAAAGGUUGAAUAAGUCAGGUUAUAAAACACAACAAACAACCUUGUCUAGCCCCUCUCUCUGCUCUGAAUUGACUUGAGAACCUGUGAUCUAGUGAUGUUGCCAUAUUGACUGUUAAAUAAGUCACCAGUUGUAUCGGUGUCUCAUCUCAAAGAUUGCACAAUCAAAUGCCUUCUAGUGGUAAACAAAGCAUAUUAUCAAGGGUGCUUGAAAUUCUCUCAACAUCUCAAUUAGCUGUCUCAUCAGUACUUGCUCAUUCCGCUUGUUCCUGCGGUAUAAUAUUGUAGGUGUAGGUAAAUUUUUAAUCUGUGUUUGAUGAUAUGCAGCAAAAUUUUACAUUACAUCUAUUCUGCGUUCCGCAGUCACUUUGCAGUGUGGGCAGCAUAUCCCAAUAUAAAACUUAUGGAACCUUGCAGCUCAGUGUUGCCGGUUUUAAGCAGACGAACUUAAAGUCCGUCUAAAUACAAUAUUCCAGAAGUCAAAAACAUCUUAAUUUGAAAAUCUGUGGGUUUUAUUAUUUUUAAAUAAUUCAUAGAUAGGUACUAUGAAAGAUAUUUAUACGAUAUUAAAGAUAUAUCCACUUGCUUCCGUACAGCCAUGAUGUGAACUUGUCAGAUAGAGCUCAUUGGUACCUCGGGCGAAAAACAUUGGAUAUUUUAUUCAUCCAUGUUAUAAUUCACAUCUUUGUCAUAUGUUCCGAUGACGGAUCAAUUGUAAAGGGUUUUUACCCAUAUAUUUUUACUUUGGUGGUUAGCAUGUAGAUUCUAAGAUUGCACUGAUGAUGAUCGGUCAACCGAUCGAAAACUAGUUCUGUCUUUGAUGUAGCCCUGUAUAGGGAUUUUAACAAAUAUACCUUUUAUAAAGGAUAUAUCAUUUGAAUAUUAAUUUUAAUUAGCCUGUGAUUAAUAUUAUAUUUAAUAGUUAUUUAUGAUAUAAAUAUUAAAAGUACAAUUUUAAGGCACGCAUGUGAAAGUUUGCAGAAUGAGCGAAGCGAAUUCUGCAAUUCACAUGAGUACCUUAAAAUUGUACUUUUUAACACGUGUACUUUGUACGCACGUAAGAAGUUAUACUUCUAUUAUAUGAUUUCAACGAAAUAAAUAUACUUUCAACAGGUUAUUUGUAUUUAAAGAUUAAACUAAUUUUUACUUACUACUUUCCAAAAAUUUUUAUUAAAACAAUACUAAAAAUAAAAAAAAAAGUUAGAUAACACACGGAUUCGAACCGGCGACCUCUCGCUCUCCGGUCUAACGCGCUACCACCGAGCCAAACUCCCUUUGCUUUGACAGCUUACAAGAUUUCUCAUACAUACUGACAAAUUUAAUAGACCAAGUGAGGUAUAAAAUAGUUUAAAAUUUAUUUAAUAUAAAUAUUAAAAUCUCUUGGCAACACUGUCCUUCAUAAGAGUCUGUACUGAAAGGUGACCGUGGAACGCAGUAUAGUAGUGGCUCCUUUUUUUAUUUAGUGGAAUAUAAAUAAACCAAUCAGAUGGCGAUUUUUCCGACUUAUAAAGAACGACACAUAUAGAAUACAGGAUAUAUAAUCCUUUGUCACCUAGUGACUGCAGAAUUUCUCCCGGUAUUGUGUCGAUUCCUGGGGAUUUAUUUCUCUUUAACGAUUUAAUUGCGUUUUUUACUUCAGAGAGUAAUAAAGUAGUUUCUCUAGGGCAAUCGGAGGGCCAUAUAUUUUUUGCUGGAGUUUCGUUCUUUUAUUAAAGUAUAUUAAACAGAGUAUUUAGUUGAUAGAAAAGUUUAACGCCAACUAUUUUUAGAAGAAAAAUAGUAAAACUAAACAAAAGGUUAACAAAUAAAUAAAAUCAAAAGAAAUUGGAAUAAAAAAAUAUGGAAUUGACAUUAUUCUAACGUGGCCUACAAAUCUAAGUAUCAGAAUGAACUUUCGAAAAAAAAAACUGAAUCAUCCGUAAUUUGGUCUUUAAAGAAAACACAUCUUGCAAAAUUUUCGGAACAUUAAUGAACUAGGCAUGCUCUAAUUAGUGCCAUCUGUAGGCUAUAGUGGUAUUAAUACCAAUUUAAUAAACUGAACGUUUUAUAGAACGAAAACGAGAAACAUUUUUUGCUAAAUAACGCGUUGUUUUGACGUCAGCUGUCACUAUAUAGCUAAUAUCCAAUGAAUUACUGUACAUCCCGUAUUUAAUUAAUAAAAUCAUAAAAUGAGCAUGUUGUAUAAUAUUCUUUUAGUUGAUUUAUUUUUGUAUGUGAUCUCGAUUUUAUUCAAAAUUAGCACAAUAUUUGAGAACUUGUCUUUUGUUUGAAAAUAGUUUCUUUUAUUAACUUUUCGUUGUAAAUUACAAAGUGUAUUUGAAAUAAACAUAUUCAAAUUACA